This 301-nucleotide ribosomal RNA is filed under the name uncultured bacterium. Its description in RNAcentral is "partial 16S ribosomal RNA". It matches the Rfam family "Bacterial small subunit ribosomal RNA", at positions 509 to 807 of the family's 1533-position model. The record is from RNAcentral.
CAGUCGCCGCGGUAAUACGGAGGGUGCAAGCGUUAAUCGGAAUUACUGGGCGUAAAGCGCACGCAGGCGGUCUGACAAGUCAGAUGUGAAAUCCCCGGGCUUAACCUGGGAACUGCAUUUGAAACUGUCAGGCUGGAGUCUUGUAGAGGGGGGUAGAAUUCCAGGUGUAGCGGUGAAAUGCGUAGAGAUCUGGAGGAAUACCGGUGGCGAAGGCGGCCCCCUGGAGAAAGACUGACGCUCAGGUGCGAAAGCGUGGGGAGCAAACAGGAUUAGAUACCCCUGUAGUCCCUGUCUCUUAUAC